This 706-nucleotide ribosomal RNA is filed under the name Senecio kolenatianus. RNAcentral describes it as "eukaryotic LSU rRNA". The stretch from base 317 to 472 matches the Rfam family "5.8S ribosomal RNA". The record is from RNAcentral. Lineage: Eukaryota; Viridiplantae; Streptophyta; Magnoliopsida; Asterales; Asteraceae.
GGAAGUAAAAGUCGUAACAAGGUUUCCGUAGGUGAACCUGCGGAAGGAUCAUUGUCGAAACCUGCAUAGCAGAACGACCUGUGAACAUGUAACAACAAUUGGGUGUUCGAAGUAUUGGGCUCUUGUCCGAUUCCUAGGAUGCCAUGUUGAUGUGCGUCUUUGGCAAGCCCGUUGGGUUUCCAAGGACGUCACGUCGACGCAACAACAAACCCCCGGCACGGCAUGUGCCAAGGAAAUAUAAACUUAAGAAGGGCUUGUUUCAUGCUUUGUCGUUCGCGGUGAUUGCAUUGAAACUUGCUACUUUAUAAUCAUAAACGACUCUCGGCAACGGAUAUCUCGGCUCACGCAUCGAUGAAGAACGUAGCAAAAUGCGAUACUUGGUGUGAAUUGGAGAAUCCCGUGAACCAUCGAGUUUUUGAACGCAAGUUACACCCGAAGUCUUUUGGUUGAGGGCACGUCUGCCUGGGCGUCACACAUCGCGUCGCCCCCAUCACACCUAAGGUGCGGUUGGCUGAAUUUUGAGUCCUCUUCGACGGACGUAUGAUUAGUGGUGGUUGACAAGACCUUCUUAUCAAGUCGUGUGUUCUAAGAAGUAAGGAAGAUCUCUUUAAUGACCCUAAUGUGUUGUCUCAUGACGAUGCUCCGACUGCGACCCCAGGUCAGGCGGGACUACCCGCUGAGUUUAAGCAUAUCAAUAAGCGGAGGA